AAAUUGAAGAGUUUGAUCAUGGCUCAGAUUGAACGCUGGCGGCAGGCCUAACACAUGCAAGUCGAACGGUAACAGGAAACAGCUUGCUGUUUCGCUGACGAGUGGCGGACGGGUGAGUAAUGUCUGGGAAACUGCCUGAUGGAGGGGGAUAACUACUGGAAACGGUAGCUAAUACCGCAUAACGUCGCAAGACCAAAGAGGGGGACCCUCGGGCCUCUUGCCAUCGGA
RNAcentral lists this ribosomal RNA (228 nucleotides) under Escherichia coli. Its description in RNAcentral is "partial 16S ribosomal RNA". It matches the Rfam family "Bacterial small subunit ribosomal RNA", at positions 1 to 225 of the family's 1533-position model. Lineage: Bacteria; Pseudomonadati; Pseudomonadota; Gammaproteobacteria; Enterobacterales; Enterobacteriaceae. The record is from RNAcentral.